UAUAAUAUAGGAAAACAGCCAAUUUUAUAUGUGUCACAUAUAUCAAAAACCUAUAUUAAACCAUAUGUUUCUUUCCAUAUUCUUUCCAUGUGGGCGUGUACCAGACCCAACACACAACUCACUUUUCUUUUCUUUUUUUCAGAAGAAGAGUCCACAGUCACAAUAACAAGAUCAUUGAGCUGUCCCCUAAUUGUGGUCAGCUACAUGUUUAGUCUCUUAUGUGCAAAACAUUAUGUAGCCUAAGGAAGCAGCCCUGACUCUGUAGUUUAUAUAAAGGUAUGUUUUUACAUUUUUAAGUUUAUUUCAUUUUUACAAGACAAGUAAGGUGAUGCAUGUUUGUUGUAUUUACAACAGGAGCAUGCUGAGUAACUAUCCAGAACGUAGGUACAAAGCAGAAAAAAGGGCACCAAGCAGAAACAUACCAUCUAAACUCCUUCGAUUCCUGUCAGACCAGAAAGACUUUCAGAAUCCUUGGAAGAUUUAAAGCCAUUGAAGUAUCAGUAUUGGAGAGGAAGAAGACCCAGUUGUAUCGUCUGUUUCCUGCCAUCUAGCAGUUAACCUGGUUUCUUAAUGUAAAGUACUUGUAAUUUGCCCACUUGUCCUCAAUUAUCUUAAAGCUAACAUUUAAAACUAAUUUGCUAUGAGAUUAUUUGCCAAGACUUCUCACUGUGCGAUUCACAUGUCAAUAUGUAUUAUUGUUUGUAUAACUAGCUAUUUGGAAUUCAAAUGAUUUGUUUUCAUUAAAAAAUCUGUUUUAAUUGCAAA
This is a non-coding RNA of Danio rerio (zebrafish), 765 nucleotides long. The record is from RefSeq and is a predicted model, not a curated record. Lineage: Eukaryota; Metazoa; Chordata; Actinopteri; Cypriniformes; Danionidae.